Long non-coding RNA from Bactrocera oleae (olive fruit fly), 431 nucleotides. RefSeq lists it as uncharacterized. The record is from RefSeq and is a predicted model, not a curated record. NCBI's taxonomy places the organism in Eukaryota, Metazoa, Arthropoda, Insecta, Diptera, Tephritidae.
UGAACACGAUCAAACUUGCUGCCGUCAAAUAGAAAUAUCAAAAUUUUUUGAUUUUCAUUAUACAGACAAAAGCCGACGACAUAAAUAUACUUAAAGCGUUUGAUGGAAUUAUUUGAUCGUACCCAGAGCACUUAACCACCGCUCUAACGGUAUAAUCAGAAAAAUAAAAUAAUAAUAGAACAAUGAAAUAACCAAGUGCAGAACACAAAUGUUUGAAAUAAAGCAGACUCUACUUUGGUGAACAUUGACAAUUUAUCAACUUAUUCUGGGGAUAUAACUGGGCCAAUCUUGGGAAUCACCUUUUUCCAGAGCUGCUUUUUGAAAAAAUAUAAAAAAUGAGGUCUGAAUCUACAUAAGAUUUGCUAAGAAUGUACGUACAAGUAUGUUUAUCGCUUUAUAUAAAUUUUUCGCAAAAUGAAGUUACUAGGCUG